GACGAACGCUGGCGGCGUGCCUAACACAUGCAAGUCGAACGGAGUCGGCCCCGCAAGGGACUGACUUCGUGGCGAACGGGUGAGUAACGCGUGAGCAACCUGCCUUUCAGUGGGGGACAACAGUUGGAAACGACUGCUAAUACCGCAUAAUGCAUUUUGACCGCAUGAUCGAGAUGCCAAAGAUUUAUUGCUGAAAGAUGGGCUCGCGUCUGAUUAGAUAGUUGGGGAGGUAACGGCCCACCAAGUCGACGAUCAGUAGCCGGACUGAGAGGUUGAACGGCCACAUUGGGACUGAGAUACGGCCCAGGCGCCUACGGGAGGCAGCAGUGGGGAAUAUUGGGCAAUGGGGGAAACCGUGACCCAGCAACGCCGCGUGAAGGAAGAAGGCUUUCGGGUUGUAAACUUCUUUUACCAGGGACGAAGAAAGUGACGGUACCUGGAGAAAAAGCCACGGCUAACUACGUG
RNAcentral lists this ribosomal RNA (465 nucleotides) under uncultured bacterium. RNAcentral describes it as "partial 16S ribosomal RNA". It matches the Rfam family "Bacterial small subunit ribosomal RNA", at positions 28 to 507 of the family's 1533-position model. The record is from RNAcentral.